CUUUAAAGGGCUUUUCUCAAUGAAUUUGAAGCUUCUGUCUGAGUUUCCACCUGUGAAUAAGAAUUGCAUUGUAAUAAAAAUUAGCCUUAAAGAACACUUUAUCUUAAACAUUCACUUCAAGAAAUUAAUUUUAUUGUUGCCAUUUUAUUACAUAUUGUUUAGGUGUUACCAGGAGCUGAGAUGUGACUAUUAGUGUUCCCUGAAAUUCAAGCAUUGAAACCUCUGUAAUAGUAAGUGGUGGGGCAUCGGAUGUGAUUAUACAACGACUGUAGAGUCCCCAGUGAUGGGGAAAGGAACCUUCUCAAGAAAGCGAUGGAGAGUAUCUUGCUUCUUCUGCACAAUGAGAAGAUGCUGAGAGUAUGACCCAAAGACAUCAGAUCCAUCGGUGUGGAACUCAUUCAGAGCAGUUAGUGGGAUAGGAUGGUUUGAGUAAUGUGCUCUGAAAUAUAGACUGAGAAAUUCUGCUUCAGUUUAAUAUGAAGGGAGGCAUUGUUUGGGCCAGUGGUGGGAUGGAUCAGUGGGUAAGGGCACUUGAUGCCUUGCCUGAUGUUGAGUUUGAUCCCCAGGACCAAUGUGACACAAGAUCUUGAGUUUCCAACCUCCAGAUCAGUAAGAACCAUAUUUAUUUUGAUCUGGCUCAGGUUUUGCAAUCUUUUGAAAGAGAAAAUCUCAAAUUUUUAUCUUGUCUUCUGGUUGGUUUAUUCAUUUUGUACCUCUGCUAACAAUUUUGCUAUGUGUUCUGUGAACUACACCAGAGACCCAGACAUCCUUAAAGGCAUCACUUUUACCUAACUCAACCUUACUCUUUUCUACUACACUGUGCAUCUCUUGGGGUUAAGGUUAAAAUGCAAGCUCAUCAUUGCAUACUACUGAGCACAGCACUAAGCACAUGGAUGCUAACCAAUAUUUAAAUUAAUUAAAAUCCCCAGUUUUGAUGGUUGUCUUUGAUUGUCAACUUAAUGCAACUUACAGUCAUCUGGGAAGCAAACCUCGAUGAAAGGUGGCCUACAUUUGUUUGGCCUGUGAAUCAGUUCUGUAGGGAAAUUCUCUUAUGAAGUUAGUUGAUCUGGGAAUACUCAACUCAUUGUGGGCAGUGCCAUUCUCUAGGCAAGAACUUCUGAACUAUAUGAGUAGAGAAACCAACCUGAGUCAAACAAGCAAGGGGAUAAGCAUGAAUGCACCUAUUCCUCUCUGCUCUUGACUGCGGAUGUCAUGUGACCAGGUAGCUCCUAAUCUGGUAUUUCCACAAUGAUGAACUAUAACUCGAAAUUGUAAGGCAAAUAAACCUUUCCCCCAACACGUUGUUUUUUACCAGGAUACUUUAUCACAGCAACAUAAACAAAAUCAGAACACAGAGUUGGCAGCAAGUGACUUUUCCUACUGUGCCAUCUCAUCAGCUUACGUGUUUCCUAUAAAAUAGUAAAAUAUGUGCAUAAACAUUUGACAGAUUUCAGUAGUUAGGUCAUGGUUUCUGGGAGGUACCAGGGAAAUUUAGUCAUUCUGUACUCUUUCCAUAGUUUGAGCAUGUUGUCAAAGUAUGGUCUUGAAUGAAGCCGUGUAAGGAGAAUUUUGAGAACUUGUGAGAAAACUCCGAAGAAAUGAGACAAAAGUCUUAUAACCUCCGUUUCUCCAUAACAUGGGUGGUUCUUGGAAUGUGCUUUUGUGCCUCUCCCAGGUGCAACAGUAGGAGAGGGUUUACUUCAGAUUAGCCAUUAUCUUACCCACUAGUGUUUAGAUGGUGUUCCCAAGCAUGGUUGGUUGCCUUUGUUACCUGUUGCCACAUACAUCUUAAACUCAUGUGACCUUAUCCUUGUGACUGUAUAGAACUUGAACUUUGCUCACAUGUCCUUGCCUAGCUCUCCUAAUGCCCUCAGAAUAGAAAUGGCCUGAUGCCCUAAAUAAAGUUGGCUCUUGCACAAGCCUUUAGUCCACCUCAUUUCAUGCCCUACUCUCCCAGGUUUAAACAUGUUACCUGAGUUUUCCUGUGCUUGAAGUUCCAGGCUUCAGGAUAAAGGGUAGGCCCAGGGGGUUGUAAGUUUCACAAACAAAACUUGCAACAUUGGAUAUUGACUGUAUUCUAAUAAUGUGCUUGAUGUAGCUACUCUCUCCAGAAGCUGGUUACCCCAGAUUCCUUUGUGGUUUCUCUCACUUCCACUGUAUUUUCUAAAAAGAAUUGGAAACACUAAUAUCACUGCUGGGUUUAUAACACAGUGGUAGAAUACUAGCAUGUGAGAUUGUAGGUUCACUUUGUAUAACUACCAAUAACUAACUAACCAACCAAUUAACCAAUUAAAUUCAAACCUCCCUCCCCAAGGUGUUUGACUAUUUGAUAUUUUAGUACAAAAAAUGCUGGGAAAAUAAACUACUAAUGCCUUUGGAAGCAGUGAUUUGUGUUUAUUUGCCUGUUUUUUAUAUCCUUUCAUUUAAAUUAGCCAUGAUUCCAAGGAACAUUUACCAUGUACAUGAAUGUUUAAAAAUGAAGACUUAAAACCAGAGUAGGAUGCAGGAUUUUAAAGCAAUGCUUGGAAUUGCUCAUGGGACCUAACAUUUAUGACUACACGUGAGUUUGUAAGUACACAAGGAAGUGGGGUGAAGACAGAGGGAGUAGUAUAUUUCAGAGGAAACUUUGCAUUGCCCAAACCACCACGUGGAUGUUUAGAAACACAGGCAGCAUAAUUUUGGUUUAUUUGUUUGCUUCGAAAGGCUUGUUCUUACUCUCAACUCUUCCGGCUUCAGCCUUGGGAACACAGUAUGGUACUAGUUUUGAAUAAAGAAGGUUAUAAGAGUAAUUUUGAGCCUACUUGAAAUUAGUACAUUGAGGAUCACGAGAAUAUUACAAAUGUAGUCUUUUAUGUUUCUACUAAGUGUAAAUUUUGGCAGUGGACAUGAUCCAAGCAGUUUUGAGCUCACCAAGGUUAUGUGGACUCGAAGAUCACUGGCAUGGAGGUGGGAGAGUUUCCUGAGGGUACAGAGUGUUGAAUGAUACAGAAUACUUGAAGAAUCUUCUCUUAGCAGUCCAAAAGCUGGAGUUUGAGUCAGCACGGAGCAUCAUCCUGAUAAUGUUAGAGUGUGUGUAACAGUUUUCCACGUAAAGCUGAUGCCAAGAUAAUCUACCGCUGCACAUCUGAGACACAUCAGAAAAGCCCGGGCUUCCACACAAUAUGGGAACUGUUCCUCAAGUGCUGUGUGCUUCAUGGCUGUUUUGUUCUCUUUUACAAACAAGGAGGAAGCUAGGAAUUGCAUCACGGAUACCGAGACUUGAGAGGCUGAGGAAUCUCAAAUCUCAGUUAUGAUCCAGCUACAGAGCACUGAUCAGAUACUCAAAAAAGGACUCCAAGCAAGAACUAUGUAUUAUGUUAGUGGGACUUAACAUGAACCAUACAUACAAAAAUUAAAACGUCUCUCAAAGAGCCAAAGCCAUCCCUGUGCAUUAUGAAGUUGAAAGCCCAUUUAAGUGCAACAUGACUAAUAGAAGCUAACAGCUGCAAUCCAGAGACCCUAAACUGCUAACUGAAGCUGCACGCAGGUAUCGGAAAGAAGCAUUAUGGAUACAUUAUGAGAAAAAUAAUACAGGAUGCCCAAGCACCCACCGUGAGAAAUAGGAGAGAUAUAGUACAUUGUGGAGAGAAGGGAAAGAAAAGCAGAGUGGUCCCUGCACUGUGGAGAGAAGUGGAACUGGAGAUGCAAUGCAAUGCAAUGUGAGAAACAAGCCCAUAUGAUGAGUGUGCUGUCACCUGAAGACAUGCUGACUUCUGGGGGCAUGCUGCUGCCCAGGGCCAUAUUCAUCUGAGUGGUCUUUGCUGCCACCUGAACCCAUGUUGAUGUUUGAGGACCAUGUUUCUCCUGGCGUCCAUGCUGACCUGAGUGGCCUGUACCCUUCUCUGACACCCAAUCCUCUGCUGCUACCUAGGGUCAUGUCUGAGUUCGUGGCCCUUCUAUGACUGGGAUCUGUGCUGAGGACCUUCACUGUAACCAUGUUGCCAAUGAGGGCUAUUUGGAUGUCUGUGGUCUGGGCUACCGUCUGAGGCCAGGAGGAUGCCCAAGAGAGAGUUGGCCCUGCCCCUUGAUGGCAGCCACAGAUAAGAGAGCUGGAACUUCCUUUUACCUGGACAGUAUAGGAACGUUGUUCAGGAAUGUGUGAGAGGGGGUGAAAUGCCCCUCGGCUUGCUGACUUCAGCACUUAGAAGAGAGGGAUGGUACAUCACCUGGGCAGCCAACACAAUAGAUCUUGGCCUGUGGGAAAGCUGGCCCUAGCCCUUGCCUGCUUGCUGAGAUGUGGAUGAUGGAGAGAUGGCCCUUCCCUUCACCUGAGCAGUGUGGGAGAGCAGUUGUACCUAACUAAUUCAGGUACCAUCCAGGCUCAGAUAGAGGGCUUUGAGUUGGUUGACCCCAACAUCUACUCUAUCCAAGAACUACUGGAGCAUGUGAAGGGACCAGGCCUGCAGAAGCAAAGCUGUAGGGUCUCCAGGACACAGGACAACAGGACUCUGAGAGGAGUGCUGGGGAGGGUUCAGUACUGAUAGCACAGCAGAAAGACAGAGGCCUCGAACCAGUUCAGUGACUCAUUGAAAUGAACACCCACAAGUAAAGCUAUGUGAUGACACACUGCAGCUUCCACUGCAAGAGCUUUUGAGUUGUUGUUUUGUUUCGUUUUUAGUCUGUUUGCUUUCCUUUGGGGGGAGAUUGCAAGGACUGAGAACAGAUAUGGAGGGAUGGGGAGAUGAAUGGGAUUGGGUUACAUUUUGAGAAAUUCACAAAAUAAUUAAUAAAAAGUUUUU
Molecule: long non-coding RNA, 4778 nt
Organism: Alexandromys fortis (reed vole)
Lineage: Eukaryota; Metazoa; Chordata; Mammalia; Rodentia; Cricetidae
Exons: 4
Source: RefSeq, a predicted model, not a curated record